Molecule: long non-coding RNA, 200 nt
Filed under: Vitis vinifera (wine grape)
Lineage: Eukaryota; Viridiplantae; Streptophyta; Magnoliopsida; Vitales; Vitaceae
Description: long non-coding RNA (VVIN_LNC007384)
Source: RNAcentral
UUCAGUCCUUCUGAGUCUAGCAAGCUAAUUAAGAAACAAAAUGUGAUUACGUCCAUGAUAGGAGAACAUGUUUCCUCAUAGUUAAUACCAAGUCUUUGUGAGAAACCUUGUGUUAUCGCAUUUUAUAUCUUAUGAUCUCAUUAUUCUUAUUGCACUUUCGUAUAAAUACCAUUUGUACCCAAUAAGUUUUACAUCCUUAG